GAUCCCCGGUCUCGGCACCUCUGGUCCCGGUGGCGCCGGCUGCGGCCGCAGACGGAGAAGGCGGCGGCGGAGGCACCGACUCGAGCUUGACCAGGGUCAGCGAGAUGAGGUAGGCAGCUGAGACUGGAGCGGCUGGGAGACCAGGCUAUGAUGAAGGAUGUACUUCUCCCAGACACCUUUCAGGAACAACAUGGCUGGCUUUUGUCAGCUCUUUGCCACCUCAGAGCUGGAGAACAAGAGGUCACUGAUCCUUUGUGGGUCCUGGGAAUGAGCACAUUAUCCAGUCCCAGAACCUCCUGCCCCACACUGCUUCCUGCCCUGGACUCCCCAGGCACGGUCCAAGGCUACCCUGGGUCUGUCACGGCCUCCCUUCCCCAUGCUCACCCACUUCUCCAUUGCCAAGAAGGUCAGCUCAGCAGUGACUUGUAUUUUGAUCCCCUGGGAGAAGGAUCAGAGUUGGGGAAAGAGGAAGAACGACACCUCCCAUAUCUUUUUUCCAUCCUGUCCAAAUGUAUUCUCCCCCCGAGUCCCAGCUCCAUCUAGAGGACUAGGAAGUGGCUGAUUGGGAAGUGAUGUAUGGCACAGCAAGCCCUUCUAUGCCUCCACUGGCCCCCGAUACACCCAAGUUGGGAGCUAACC
Molecule: long non-coding RNA, 639 nt
Organism: Zalophus californianus (California sea lion)
Lineage: Eukaryota; Metazoa; Chordata; Mammalia; Carnivora; Otariidae
Exons: 3
Source: RefSeq, a predicted model, not a curated record